RNAcentral lists this long non-coding RNA (956 nucleotides) under Salvia miltiorrhiza (redroot sage). RNAcentral describes it as "long non-coding RNA (SMIL_LNC000280)". The record is from RNAcentral. Lineage: Eukaryota; Viridiplantae; Streptophyta; Magnoliopsida; Lamiales; Lamiaceae.
UUUUCUAGCUAACUUCGUUUAUUCCGGCAUUGAUUAGGAAAGCACUAGCGAAAUUAUUCUGUGAGAUCUAAUUGUUCUUAUACUUUAUUUUAUGCUUGCAUCUGCGAUUCUCCAUAUUUAAUGAUAUUAAUUGUUUUAAUCCAUUAGAUAGUUGCAAAUAUUUAUUGGGUUAGAAUUAAUUAUAUAGCCAAUUGAACCGGCCAUCCGUAAUCGUGGUUUAGGUUUGAUUAGUGGUAAAUUGACACAUCAGGGUCAAGGGAAAAACAGUCUUAAUUCAAUAAUCCUGCGUCAGAGUUUAUUGGUUUUGAAUCGGGUUUCUCUAGAUAUUAAUGCUAUCGGCUCAUUAAAUCUAUAGAGCGUCUCUUACGGUUGUCAGUCGAUUAGGGUAGUAAUUAGUGAAGCGUCUUCCUGGUUACCGAAUAAUUAAGGAGAAAUAAGAUCACGUCAGAAGCGUCUUCGGUGGUUAUAACUGGUUUGUUUGCAUGAUUUAAAGUUAUUUUUGCAUCGAUGAUCGGAAUAAUUAAGCUAGGGUGGACUUAAUUGAUUGCUGGAAUUCUUUUAUUAAUUGUUGGAAUUUUUAUUCAUCUUUUAGCUAUUGGAAAAAUUGGUUUAUUUGGGUUUUAUUUAUUUUAUUUCCAUAUUUUCUUCUCAAAAUUUCGUGGUUACUUUGCAGACUUUAAUUAGAGAAAUUCUCGCCAGUCCCUUGGGAGACGAUUUUGCUUACUGCUGUCUGCGCAGUGUGGGCAUACCGGCUGACUGCCGGAUAUUUUUGGUGUAAAACGACGCACCAAAUUUUGGCGCCGUUGCCGGGGAUUGGUUUUAAGCAGGAUUUUACUGAUUUCAGUCUGUCUUUUAUUUUUAGUUAUUUUAUUUUUAGUUUAUGCCCCGUUCUUCUCGUACAGGCGUAUUAGUUUUUGAUCCAGAAAUCGAGAAGACUGCACGAAAGUUGAAGAAGC